GCAGUCCGUUUACACUCACAUUUGUGUAGGGAACUGACGGAGUGGGAGCCGGGGUCACAGACGCAGGAGAUUUCUCCAGAACUGCUACCCGACAUUCCAGUUUGGAAAGCGCAGCCCUCAAGUCAUCCACCACUAAAGAACAAGAGUCAAUGAGUCAUACAUGAAAGGUGACAGAAGAUGAUGCAACAAAGACAACGGCAUCGGAUUACAGAGGUCGCCGCUGAUUGAAUGAGUGCCGCUACUGAAAUUACACACGAUUAUUAAUGAUUUUCAGUACAGUAACACUAAACGCUUGGCGAGCUUCCUCUCCUGAUUCUCCAAAGGGCAUCUAUGUGACAGGUGUUACAAGAGCACUGUAAUUUAGGUCUUCUAAGAAAUAUGGCAGUGCAAAAUGUGUGUGUAGCAAGAGUGCUGGUGAGAGAGAGAGCACGGUGAAAGGUAUAAUCUGCUCUAGCUUUUCCAACUUUUUGUACAUAUGGUAAUAAUAAUGUUCCAAUGUUUGGAAAACAAAUAUA
Molecule: long non-coding RNA, 515 nt
Organism: Micropterus salmoides (largemouth bass)
Lineage: Eukaryota; Metazoa; Chordata; Actinopteri; Centrarchiformes; Centrarchidae
Exons: 2
Source: RefSeq, a predicted model, not a curated record